This 484-nucleotide ribosomal RNA is filed under the name uncultured bacterium. RNAcentral's name for it is "bacterial SSU rRNA". It matches the Rfam family "Bacterial small subunit ribosomal RNA", at positions 28 to 497 of the family's 1533-position model. The record is from RNAcentral.
GAUGAACGCUAGCGGCAGGCUUAAUACAUGCAAGUCGAGGGGCAUCAAGGUACACGAAAGUGUAUUGUUGGCGACCGGCGGACGGGUGAGUAAUAGGUAGGUAACCUACCUCAUACUGAGGCAUAGCUGGGAGAAAUUCCAGGUAAUUCCUCAUGAGGUUAUAUGACACAUGUGAUAUAAUCAAAGGUAUCGCAAGGUACUGGUAUGAGAUGGGCUUACUGACCAUUAGCUAGUUGGUGAGAUAAGAGCUCACCAAGGCGAAGAUGGUUAGGGGUUUGAGAGAGAGAUCCCCCACAUUGGAACUGAGAUACGGUCCAGACUCCUACGGGAGGCAGCAGUAGGGAAUAUUGGGCAAUGGGCGGAAGCCUGACCCAGCCAUGCCGCGUGAAGGAAGACGGCCUUAUGGGUUGUAAACUUCUUUACUAUGCGACUAACUAGAUUUACGAGAUAAUUCUAUAGAAUGUAGUAUAGCAAAAGCACCGGA